GACGAACGCUGGCGGCGUGCUUAACACAUGCAAGUCGAACGGAAAGGCCCUGCUUUUGUGGGGUGCUCGAGUGGCGAACGGGUGAGUAACACGUGAGUAACCUGCCCUUGACUUUGGGAUAACUUCAGGAAACUGGGGCGAAUACCGGAUAGGAGCUCCUGCUGCAUGGGGGGGGUUGGAAAGUGUCGGCGGUUGGGGAUGGACUCGCGGCUUAUCAGCUUGUUGGGGGGGUAGUGGCUUACCAAGGGUUUGACGGGUAGCCGGCCUGAGAGGGUGACCGGCCACAUUGGGACUGAGAUACGGCCCAGACUCCUACGGGAGGCAGCAGUGGGGAAUAUUGCACAAUGGGCGGAAGCCUGAUGCAGCAACGCCGCGUGCGGGAUGACGGCCUUCGGGUUGUAAACCGCUUUCGCCUGUGACGAAGCGUGAGUGACGGUAAUGGGUAAAGAAGCACCGGCUAACUACGUG
This 468-nucleotide ribosomal RNA is filed under the name uncultured bacterium. RNAcentral's name for it is "partial 16S ribosomal RNA". It matches the Rfam family "Bacterial small subunit ribosomal RNA", at positions 28 to 507 of the family's 1533-position model. The record is from RNAcentral.